UGCUUCCUACAGGAUCCCUUUAACAGGGCCGCCGGGGAGCGCUACCGCAGAGAGAUGUUAGCCCACGGUGGGGGCAAGGAACCUAUGCUCAUGAUUCAAGCCUGACAAAUCCCCAACAUUGGCAUUGUAGCAGGAAGCUGGCAGGCUCGGCAGGCACAGGCUUCCUUUGGAUGGCAUGCUGCAGAAAUGUCCUUCCAUCGAUGAUUUUGUGGAUGCCCUUGUGUCUGACUUGAAUCUGGACUUUGAAACUUUCUUCAUGGAUUCUAAAUAGCAGAAGCCUGGCUCACGUGGAUAGGAAACUCGUUACCAGAUCCUACAGUUAUGAAGCCUUCACUCCAACUUCAGUGUUCACUGAGGAAGAAAUACUUUCUGACAAGCCUUAAAUUGACAGAAUUCGGAAUAAAUAGUAUGUUUUAAUU
Molecule: long non-coding RNA, 419 nt
Filed under: Rattus norvegicus (Norway rat)
Lineage: Eukaryota; Metazoa; Chordata; Mammalia; Rodentia; Muridae
Description: long non-coding RNA NONRATT010505
Source: RNAcentral